UAAUUUAAUACAGGCAAAAGGGGAAUAUUCCUUUUUUAUCUCUGUUAUUAAUUCAAGAUGAAUUGUAAUUAUACAUUUACUUCCUUUUUAAAAACAGAUUUACUGGUAGGACCAUAUUACCCCUAGAAUACUUUUGGCAUUUUCAGAGCUUGAGGAUGCCUUUCCUCUGCACACACGCUGGCUCCUGAAAAGGUGUAAGGAAAAGGGACUGAACUACACAAGCCCACU
RNAcentral lists this long non-coding RNA (228 nucleotides) under Pan troglodytes (chimpanzee). Its description in RNAcentral is "long non-coding RNA NONPTRT016967". Lineage: Eukaryota; Metazoa; Chordata; Mammalia; Primates; Hominidae. The record is from RNAcentral.